Molecule: ribosomal RNA, 502 nt
Filed under: uncultured bacterium
Lineage: Bacteria
Description: partial 16S ribosomal RNA
Rfam family: Bacterial small subunit ribosomal RNA
Source: RNAcentral
AUUGAACGCUGGCGGCGUGCCUAACACAUACAAGUCGAGCGGUAACAGGUGUAGCAAUACAUGCUGACGAGCGGCGAACGGGUGAGUAAUGCUUCGGAAUCUACCUUAUGGUGGGGAAUAACUAGCCGAAAGGUUAGCUAAUACCGCAUACGUCCUACGGGAGAAAGCAGGGGAUCGCAACACCUUGCGCCAAAAGAUGAGCCGAAGUCGGAUUAGCUAGUUGGUAGGGUAACGGCCUACCAAGGCGACGAUCCGUAGCUGGUCUGAGAGGACGACCAGCCACACUGGGACUGAGACACGGCCCAGACUCCUACGGGAGGCAGCAGUGGGGAAUAUUGGACAAUGGGGGAAACCCUGAUCCAGCGACGCCGCGUGUGUGAAGAAGGCCUGCGGGUUGUAAAGCACUUUUAGUGGGGAUGAAAUGUGCAGGGUUAAUACCUCUGCAUUUUGACCUAACCCACAGAAAAAGCACCGGCUAACUCUGUGCCAGCAGCCGCAGUAA